AUUCCUACCCGAAUCUGGCAUUGCAUCGCAGGGCUGACCCGGGCACCGAGCAGCGCUGAUUCACCGACCCCGCCUCGGACCUGUUGCCGGAACCUGUCUCCGGAAAGCACUGGAAUCGUGAGGCUGUACACCCCGCCCUGAGUGCUGGCCAAUUACUCCCUCCUGCGAGUGGAUUUUAACAGCUCAGAAACUUCCCGUACCUGCAGACUGACGCUGAAUUCUGAGAUUUGUUUGACAUCUCUUUCAGUCUUUCCUUCCAAUUCUAGAGGAAAACAUUCAAAAAGAAUACUUCCUAUUCAA
Cervus elaphus (red deer) is the source of this 300-nucleotide long non-coding RNA. RefSeq lists it as uncharacterized. The record is from RefSeq and is a predicted model, not a curated record. The transcript is spliced from 2 exons. Lineage: Eukaryota; Metazoa; Chordata; Mammalia; Artiodactyla; Cervidae.